RNAcentral lists this ribosomal RNA (861 nucleotides) under Lactococcus lactis. RNAcentral describes it as "bacterial SSU rRNA". It matches the Rfam family "Bacterial small subunit ribosomal RNA", at positions 21 to 863 of the family's 1533-position model. The record is from RNAcentral. Lineage: Bacteria; Bacillati; Bacillota; Bacilli; Lactobacillales; Streptococcaceae.
GGCUCAGGGCGGAACGCUGGGGGGCGUCCCUAAUACAUGCAAGUUGAGCGCUGAAGGUGGGUACUUGUACCAACUGGAUGAGCAGCGAACGGGUGAGUAACGCGUGGGGAAUCUGCCUUUGAGCGGGGGACAACAUUUGGAAACGAAUGCUAAUACCGCAUAAAAACUUUAAACACAAGUUUUAAGUUUGAAAGAUGCAAUUGCAUCACUCAAAGAUGAUCCCGCGUUGUAUUAGCUAGUUGGUGAGGUAAAGGCUCACCAAGGCGAUGAUACAUAGCCGACCUGAGAGGGUGAUCGGCCACAUUGGGACUGAGACACGGCCCAAACUCCUACGGGAGGCAGCAGUAGGGAAUCUUCGGCAAUGGACGAAAGUCUGACCGAGCAACGCCGCGUGAGUGAAGAAGGUUUUCGGAUCGUAAAACUCUGUUGGUAGAGAAGAACGUUGGUGAGAGUGGAAAGCUCAUCAAGUGACGGUAACUACCCAGAAAGGGACGGCUAACUACGUGCCAGCAGCCGCGGUAAUACGUAGGUCCCGAGCGUUGUCCGGAUUUAUUGGGCGUAAAGCGAGCGCAGGUGGUUUAUUAAGUCUGGUGUAAAAGGCAGUGGCUCAACCAUUGUAUGCAUUGGAAACUGGUAGACUUGAGUGCAGGAGAGGAGAGUGGAAUUCCAUGUGUAGCGGUGAAAUGCGUAGAUAUAUGGAGGAACACCGGUGGCGAAAGCGGCUCUCUGGCCUGUAACUGACACUGAGGCUCGAAAGCGUGGGGAGCAAACAGGAUUAGAUACCCUGGUAGUCCACGCCGUAAACGAUGAGUGCUAGAUGUAGGGAGCUAUAAGUUCUCUGUAUCGCAUCUAAUGCAAUAA